This 822-nucleotide ribosomal RNA is filed under the name uncultured bacterium. RNAcentral describes it as "bacterial SSU rRNA". It matches the Rfam family "Bacterial small subunit ribosomal RNA", at positions 135 to 942 of the family's 1533-position model. The record is from RNAcentral.
AGACUGGGAUAACACCGGGAAACCGGUGCUAAUACCGGAUAAUCCUUUUUCUCUCAUGAGGGAAAGCUGAAAGACGGCGUAAGCUGUCACUUACAGAUGGGCCCGCGGCGCAUUAGCUAGUUGGUGAGGUAAUGGCUCACCAAGGCGACGAUGCGUAGCCGACCUGAGAGGGUGAUCGGCCACACUGGGACUGAGACACGGCCCAGACUCCUACGGGAGGCAGCAGUAGGGAAUCUUCCGCAAUGGACGAAAGUCUGACGGAGCAACGCCGCGUGAGCGAAGAAGGCCUUCGGGUCGUAAAGCUCUGUUGUCAGAGAAGAACAAGUAUCGGAGUAACUGCCGGUACCUUGACGGUACCUGACCAGAAAGCCACGGCUAACUACGUGCCAGCAGCCGCGGUAAUACGUAGGCGGCAAGCGUUGUCCGGAAUUAUUGGGCGUAAAGCGCGCGCAGGCGGUCCUUUAAGUCUGAUGUGAAAGCCCACGGCUCAACCGUGGAGGGUCAUUGGAAACUGGGGGACUUGAGUGCAGAAGAGGAGAGUGGAAUUCCACGUGUAGCGGUGAAAUGCGUAGAGAUGUGGAGGAACACCAGUGGCGAAGGCGACUCUCUGGUCUGUAACUGACGCUGAGGCGCGAAAGCGUGGGGAGCGAACAGGAUUAGAUACCCUGGUAGUCCACGCCGUAAACGAUGAGUGCUAAGUGUUAGAGGGUUUCCGCCCUUUAGUGCUGCAGCUAACGCAUUAAGCACUCCGCCUGGGGAGUACGGCCGCAAGGCUGAAACUCAAAGGAAUUGACGGGGGCCCGCACAAGCGGUGGAGCAUGU